RNAcentral lists this ribosomal RNA (253 nucleotides) under uncultured bacterium. Its description in RNAcentral is "partial 16S ribosomal RNA". It matches the Rfam family "Bacterial small subunit ribosomal RNA", at positions 524 to 776 of the family's 1533-position model. The record is from RNAcentral.
UACGAAGGGGGCGAGUGUUGUUCGGAUUUACUGGGCGUAAAGGGCGCGCAGGCGGCGCAUUUUGUCAGGCGUGAAAGCCCCGGGCUUAACCUGGGAACUGCGUUUGAUACGGAUGGGCUAGAGUUCGGGAGAGGAGAGUGGAAUUCCCAGUGUAGAGGUGAAAUUCGUAGAUAUUGGGAAGAACACCGGUGGCGAAGGCGGCUCUCUGGACCGAGACUGACGCUGAGGCGCGAAAGCGUGGGGAGCAAACAGG